CCUACGGGUGGCAGCAGUGGGGAAUAUUGCACAAUGGGCGCAAGCCUGAUGCAGCCAUGCCGCGUGUGUGAAGCAGGCCUUCGGGUUGUAAAGCACUUUCAGCGGGGAGGAAGGCGGUGAGGUUAAUAACCUCAUCGAUUGACGUUACCCGCAGAAGAAGCACCGGCUAACUCCGUGCCAGCAGCCGCGGUAAUACGGAGGGUGCAAGCGUUAAUCGGAAUUACUGGGCGUAAAGCGCACGCAGGCGGUCUGUCAAGUCGGAUGUGAAAUCCCCGGGCUCAACCUGGGAACUGCAUUCGAAACUGGCAGGCUAGAGUCUUGUAGAGGGGGGUAGAAUUCCAGGUGUAGCGGUGAAAUGCGUAGAGAUCUGGAGGAAUACCGGUGGCGAAGGCGGCCCCCUGGACAAAGACUGACGCUCAGGUGCGAAAGCGUAGGGAGCAAACAGGAUUAGAUACCCCAGUAGUC
Molecule: ribosomal RNA, 465 nt
Filed under: uncultured Klebsiella sp.
Lineage: Bacteria; Pseudomonadati; Pseudomonadota; Gammaproteobacteria; Enterobacterales; Enterobacteriaceae
Description: bacterial SSU rRNA
Rfam family: Bacterial small subunit ribosomal RNA
Source: RNAcentral